This 110-nucleotide ribosomal RNA is filed under the name Paludibacteraceae bacterium. The record is from RNAcentral. Lineage: Bacteria; Pseudomonadati; Bacteroidota; Bacteroidia; Bacteroidales; Paludibacteraceae.
UCAGGUGGUUAUAGCGCCGGGGUUCCACCUCUUCCCAUUCCGAACAGAGAAGUUAAGCCCGAACGCGCCGAUGGUACUGCGUAUUGUGGGAGAGUAGGUUGCCGCCACUU